Molecule: transfer RNA, 73 nt
Organism: Gordonia rhizosphera NBRC 16068
Lineage: Bacteria; Bacillati; Actinomycetota; Actinomycetes; Mycobacteriales; Gordoniaceae
Rfam family: tRNA
About the family: Transfer RNA (tRNA) molecules are approximately 80 nucleotides in length. Their secondary structure includes four short double-helical elements and three loops (D, anti-codon, and T loops). Further hydrogen bonds mediate the characteristic L-shaped molecular structure. tRNAs have two regions of fundamental functional importance: the anti-codon, which is responsible for specific mRNA codon recognition, and the 3' end, to which the tRNAs corresponding amino acid is attached (by aminoacyl-tRNA synthetases). tRNAs cope with the degeneracy of the genetic code in two manners: having more than one tRNA (with a specific anti-codon) for a particular amino acid; and 'wobble' base-pairing, i.e. permitting non-standard base-pairing at the 3rd anti-codon position.
Source: Rfam
GGGGCCUUAGCUCAGUUGGUAGAGCGCCGCCUUUGCAAGGCGGAUGUCAGGAGUUCGAAUCUCCUAGGCUCCA